AAAGGGUCCGUAGGCGGUUUAAUAAGUCAGUGGUGAAAGCCCAUCACUCAACGGUGGAACGGCCAUUGAUACUGUUAAACUUGAAUUAUUAGGAAGUAACUAGAAUAUGUAGUGUAGCGGUGAAAUGCUUAGAGAUUACAUGGAAUACCAAUUGCGAAGGCAGGUUACUACUAAUGGAUUGACGCUGAUGGACGAAAGCGUGGGUAGCGAACAGGAUUAGAUACCCUAGU
RNAcentral lists this ribosomal RNA (230 nucleotides) under uncultured bacterium. RNAcentral describes it as "partial 16S ribosomal RNA". It matches the Rfam family "Bacterial small subunit ribosomal RNA", at positions 562 to 791 of the family's 1533-position model. The record is from RNAcentral.